GACGAACGCUGGCGGCGUGCCUAAUACAUGCAAGUCGAGCGGACCAAAGGGAGCUUGCUCCUGGAGGUUAGCGGCGAACGGGUGAGUAACACGUGGGCAACCUGCCUGUAAGACUGGGAUAGCAUCGAGAAAUCGGUGCUAAUACCGGAUAAUAAAAAAGAACUGCAUGGUUCUUUUUUGAAAGAUGGUUUCGGCUAUCACUUACAGAUGGGCCCGCGGCGCAUUAGCUAGUUGGUGAGGUAACGGCUCACCAAGGCAACGAUGCGUAGCCGACCUGAGAGGGUGAUCGGCCACACUGGGACUGAGACACGGCCCAGACUCCUACGGGAGGCAGCAGUAGGGAAUCUUCCGCAAUGGACGAAAGUCUGACGGAGCAACGCCGCGUGAGUGAUGAAGGUUUUCGGAUCGUAAAACUCUGUUGUUAGGGAAGAACAAGUGCCGUUCGAAAGGGCGGCACCUUGACGGUACCUAACGAGAAAGCCACGGCUAACUACGGUGCCAGCAGCCGACGG
Molecule: ribosomal RNA, 512 nt
Filed under: uncultured bacterium
Lineage: Bacteria
Description: bacterial SSU rRNA
Rfam family: Bacterial small subunit ribosomal RNA
Source: RNAcentral